This 484-nucleotide ribosomal RNA is filed under the name uncultured bacterium. RNAcentral's name for it is "partial 16S ribosomal RNA". It matches the Rfam family "Bacterial small subunit ribosomal RNA", at positions 28 to 523 of the family's 1533-position model. The record is from RNAcentral.
GAUGAACGCUGGCGGCGUGCUUAACACAUGCAAGCCGAACGGUGAAGCAGGAGCUUGCUCUUGUGGAUCAGUGGCGAACGGGUGAGUAACACGUGAGCAACCUGCCCCUGACUCUGGGAUAAGCGCUGGAAACGGCGUCUAAUACUGGAUAUGUGAUGUGACCGCAUGGUCUGCAUCUGGAAAGAAUUUCGGUUGGGGAUGGGCUCGCGGCCUAUCAGCUUGUUGGUGGGGUAAUGGCUCACCAAGGCGUCGACGGGUAGCCGGCCUGAGAGGGUGACCGGCCACACUGGGACUGAGACACGGCCCAGACUCCUACGGGAGGCAGCAGUGGGGAAUAUUGCACAAUGGGCGGAAGCCUGAUGCAGCAACGCCGCGUGAGGGAUGACGGCCUUCGGGUUGUAAACCUCUUUUAGCAGGGAAGAAGCGAAAGUGACGGUACCUGCAGAAAAAGCACCGGCUAACUACGUGCCAGCAGCCGCCGUAA